Molecule: ribosomal RNA, 468 nt
Filed under: uncultured bacterium
Lineage: Bacteria
Description: partial 16S ribosomal RNA
Rfam family: Bacterial small subunit ribosomal RNA
Source: RNAcentral
GACGAACGCUGGCGGCGUGCUUAACACAUGCAAGUCGAACGGAAAGGCCCUGCUUUUGUGGGGUGCUCGAGUGGCGAACGGGUGAGUAACACGUGAGUAACCUGCCCUUGACUUUGGGAUAACUUCAGGAAACUGGGGCUAAUACCGGAUAGGAGCUCCUGCUGCAUGGUGGGGGUUGGAAAGUUUCGGCGGUUGGGGAUGGCCUCGCGGCUUAUCAGCUUGUUGGUGGGGUAGUGGAUUACCAAGGCUUUGACGGGUAGCCGGCCUGAGCGGGUGACCGGCCCCAUUGGGACUGAGAUACGGCCCAGACUCGUACGGGAGGCAGCAGUGGGGAAUAUUGCACAAUGGGCGGAAGCCUGAUGCAGAAACGCCGCGUGCGGGAUGACGGCCUUCGGGUUGUAAACCGCUUUCGCCUGUGACGAAGCGUGAGUGACGGUAAUGGGUAAAGAAGCACCGGCUAACUACGUG